RNAcentral lists this ribosomal RNA (502 nucleotides) under uncultured bacterium. RNAcentral describes it as "bacterial SSU rRNA". It matches the Rfam family "Bacterial small subunit ribosomal RNA", at positions 28 to 523 of the family's 1533-position model. The record is from RNAcentral.
GACGAACGCUGGCGGCGUGGAUUAGGCAUGCAAGUCGAACGGUAUCAUCCUUUCGGGGGUGAGAGAGUGGCGAACUGGUGAGUAACACGUAGGUUAUCUACCCUCAAGACGGGGACAACCCAGGGAAACUUGGGCUAAUACCGGAUGUGAGCAACUUUUAGUUGUUUGAAAGGUGGCGUAAGCUGUCGCUUGGGGAUGAGCCUGCGUCCUAUUAGUUAGUUGGUGAGGUAACGGCUCACCUAGGCAAUGAUAGGUAGGCGGCCUUAACGGGUGGUCGCCCACACUGGGAUUGAGAUACGGCCCAGACUCCUACGGGAGGCAGCAGUCGAGAAUAGUCUACAAUGGUCGGAAGACUGAUAGUGCGACGCCGCGUGAACGAUGAAUCCCGUUCGGGGUUAAAGUUCUUUUAUAUGUGAGCAGUGCUUCUUAUAUUAACAGUAUGGGGAAGAGAUAUUAGCAUAUGAAUAAGCAACGGCUAACUCCGUGCCAGCAGCCGCGGUAA